UACGGGGGGGGCAAGCGUUGUUCGGAAUUACUGGGCGUAAAGGGCUCGUAGGCGGCCAACUAAGUCGGAUGUGAAAUCCCCAGGCUCAACUUGGGAACUGCAUCCGAUACUGGAUGGCUUGAAUUCGGGAGAGGGAUGCAGAAUUCCAGGUGUAGCGGUGAAAUGCGUAGAUAUCUGGAGGAAUACCGGUGGCGAAAGCGACUUUCUGGGGCGUUCCUGACGCUGAGGUUCGAAAGCUCGGGGAGCAAACAGG
Molecule: ribosomal RNA, 253 nt
Filed under: uncultured bacterium
Lineage: Bacteria
Description: partial 16S ribosomal RNA
Rfam family: Bacterial small subunit ribosomal RNA
Source: RNAcentral